Molecule: ribosomal RNA, 270 nt
Filed under: uncultured archaeon
Lineage: Archaea
Description: partial 16S ribosomal RNA
Rfam family: Archaeal small subunit ribosomal RNA
Source: RNAcentral
CAGCACCUCAAGUGGUCAGGAUGAUUAUUGGGCCUAAAGCAUCCGUAGCCGGCGCUGUAAGUUUUCGGUUAAAUCUGUACGCUCAACGUACAGGCUGCCGGGAAUACUGCAGAGCUAGGGAGUGGGAGAGGUAGACGGUACUCGGUAGGAAGGGGUAAAAUCCUUUGAUCUAUUGAUGACCACCUGUGGCGAAGGCGGUCUACCAGAACACGUCCGACGGUGAGGGAUGAAAGCUGGGGGAGCAAAGCGGAUUAGAUACCCGAGUAGUCC